This is a long non-coding RNA of Nannospalax galili (Upper Galilee mountains blind mole rat), 531 nucleotides long. RefSeq lists it as uncharacterized. NCBI's taxonomy places the organism in Eukaryota, Metazoa, Chordata, Mammalia, Rodentia, Spalacidae. The record is from RefSeq and is a predicted model, not a curated record. The transcript is spliced from 3 exons.
CCGUAAAUAGCCCUAAGGGCCCCAGAUCUCCAACUGAAGCAAACACCCCCCCCAAAUAGUCCCGAAGUUCCAAUUUAAAACCCCGGGACUCUCCCGAUUCCCGCCUGACCCCCAAGUAGCUCUGAAGUUCCAAUGUCAGAAUUUGGGGGCACCUCAGAUUCCCGUCUGGCAGGAACAGUCCUGCCCCAGACAACCCGAGACAACAGACUCAGAGCCCGUUCCUCCCUCCUAAGUGAGCAGCAUGGCCCACUCCAGUCUCCUAGGAACAGCCACGUGUCCACAGCCCCCUCGCUCUCUGUGUUCCAUGGUCUGCGCCCUCGUUGCAGUCUUUGAUUCCAGCGGAAAUCAAUAAAGAAAUGGCUCCUAGGAGAACAUUCCAAGACUUCUUAGAAAACGUUAGGCACUUCAGACCCGAUCUUCCUAUGUACAGAUGAAAUGUGAGAACCAGCUUCCUGCUCUUCAGGCCGUACCUUACCUGCUGUGAUGAGCUCUAUCCCUCGGGAAUCAUAAGCCAAAAUAAACCUUUUCUCC